AAAGCUCUUUCGCAAGGGAAGAAACGAUUUAGGUGAAUAAUCUAAGUUAAUGACGGUACCUUGAUAAGAAGCACCGGCUAACUACGUGCCAGCAGCCGCGGUAAUACGUAGGGUGCGAGCGUUAAUCGGAAUUACUGGGCGUAAAGCGUGCGCAGGCGGUUUGAUAAGUCAGAUGUGAAAUCCCCGAGCUCAACUUGGGAACUGCGUUUGAAACUGUCAAGCUAGAAUAGGUCAGAGGGGGGUAGAAUUCCACGUGUAGCAGUGAAAUGCGUAGAGAUGUGGAGGAAUAUCAAUGGCGAAGGCAGCCCCCUGGGAUCAUAUUGACGCUCAUGCACGAAAGCGUGGGGAGCAAACAGGAUUAGAUACCCUGGUAGUCCACGCCCUAAACGAUGUCAACUAGUUGUUGGUAGAGUAAAAUCUAUGAGUAACGCAGCUAACGCGUGAAGUUGACCGCCUGGGG
Molecule: ribosomal RNA, 460 nt
Filed under: uncultured bacterium
Lineage: Bacteria
Description: bacterial SSU rRNA
Rfam family: Bacterial small subunit ribosomal RNA
Source: RNAcentral